This 253-nucleotide ribosomal RNA is filed under the name uncultured bacterium. RNAcentral's name for it is "partial 16S ribosomal RNA". It matches the Rfam family "Bacterial small subunit ribosomal RNA", at positions 524 to 776 of the family's 1533-position model. The record is from RNAcentral.
UACGUAGGGGGCAAGCGUUAUCCGGAAUUACUGGGUGUAAAGGGAGCGUAGACGGCAAUGUAAGUCUGGAGUGAAAGGCGGGGGCCCAACCCCCGGACUGCUCUGGAAACUAUGUUACUAGAGUGCAGGAGAGGUAAGCGGAAUUCCUGGUGUAGCGGUGAAAUGCGUAGAUAUCAGGAGGAACACCGGUGGCGAAGGCGGCUUACUGGACGAUGACUGACGCUGAGGCUCGAAAGCGUGGGGAGCAAACAGG